CACUGUAUGCCCUAGUACGGCGAGUGACCGGGAAGAGCUCAAAUUUGAAAUCUGGCGUGCUCAGUGCGUCCGAGUUGUAAUCUAUAGAGUCGUUUUCCGUGCCGGACUGUGUCCAAGUCCCUUGGAACAGGGUAUCAAAGAGGGUGAUAAUCCCGUACUUGACACAAUGACCGGUGCUCUGUGAUACGUCUUCUACGAGUCGAGUUGUUUGGGAAUGCAGCUCAAAAUGGGUGGUGAGUUCCAUCUAAAGCUAAAUAUUGGCGAGAGACCGAUAGCGAACAAGUACCGUGAGGGAAAGAUGAAAAGCACUUUGGAAAGAGAGUUAAACAGUACGUGAAAUUGUUAAAAGGGAAACGAUUGAAGUCAGUCGUGACUGAGAGGCUCAGCCGGUUCUGCCGGUGUAUUCCCCUCAGUCGGGUCAACAUCAGUUUUGUUCGGUGGAUAAGGGCAGUUGGAAGGUGGCACCCUCGGGUGUGUUAUAGCCAGCUGUCGCAUACAUCGGAUGAGACUGAGGAAUGCAGCUCGCCUUUAUGGCCGGGGUUCGCCCACGUUCGAGCUUAGGAUGUUGACAUAAUGGCUUUAAACGACCCGUCUUAACCCCGGGGACAACA
Molecule: ribosomal RNA, 611 nt
Filed under: Papiliotrema flavescens
Lineage: Eukaryota; Fungi; Basidiomycota; Tremellomycetes; Tremellales; Rhynchogastremaceae
Description: eukaryotic LSU rRNA
Rfam family: Eukaryotic large subunit ribosomal RNA
Source: RNAcentral